AAGACCUCAAAUCAGGUGGGACUACCCGCUGAACUUAAGCAUAUCAA
This 47-nucleotide ribosomal RNA is filed under the name Puccinia poae-nemoralis. RNAcentral describes it as "partial 28S ribosomal RNA". The record is from RNAcentral. Lineage: Eukaryota; Fungi; Basidiomycota; Pucciniomycetes; Pucciniales; Pucciniaceae.